GAUGAAGAACGCAGCGAAAUGCGAUACUUGGUGUGAAUUGCAGAAUCCCGUGAACCAUCGAGUCUUUGAACGCAAGUUGCGCCUCAAGCCAUUAGGUUGAGGGCACGUCUGCCUGGGCGUCACAUAUCGUUGCCUGAUGCCAGUUUCCUCGUGAUGGGUGACUGUGCAGGGCGAAUGAUGGCUUCCCGUGAGCAUUGUUGCCUCAUGGUUGGUUGAAAAUUGAGUCCUUGGUAGGGAGCGCCGUGAUAGAUGGUGGUUGAGUGACGAACGAGACCCAAUCAUGUGAGACCCCUACCGAAUUUGGCCUUCAUGACCCACAUGCGUCUUUGGAACGCUCAUGACGAGACCUCAGGUCAGGCGGGGCUACCCGCUGAGUUUAAGCAUAUCAAAUAAGCGGAGGA
Molecule: unclassified non-coding RNA, 401 nt
Filed under: soil metagenome
Description: partial contains 5.8S ribosomal RNA, internal transcribed spacer 2, and large subunit ribosomal RNA
Rfam family: 5.8S ribosomal RNA (bases 1-122)
Source: RNAcentral